Molecule: long non-coding RNA, 3318 nt
Organism: Dermochelys coriacea (leatherback sea turtle)
Lineage: Eukaryota; Metazoa; Chordata; Testudines; Dermochelyidae
Exons: 2
Source: RefSeq, a predicted model, not a curated record
CUGAAGCCUGGGGGAGGAGGGUGGAAGUGGCGGAGACAAAGAAGCCGAGAGGCUGGAGGGUGCUUCGUGCUCUCUCGUCUCCGGGCUGGGGCCCGGCGUUCAGCCUUGGGGCAGCGCCUCUCGCUGCCGUGCAAGAUGCCAGCGGGGGCGGGCUGACAAAGGGCUUUUUCCAGGCUGGUCGUUCUUAUAAUAGUGCAGCAGCUGCCCCACCUUCACCCCGCCUGCCCUUGAGUCGGCCAAAGCCGCGCUUCUCAAGCCUUACGCAGUCUGCUGCCGAUCGCCCCGAACUGGGCGGGGGUAUCGGACGACCUAGGGGCUGCUACAGGUUCACACUUCCUAAAAAUCUCUUGCGACUGUAUUGGUUUAGGAACGGAUACAGCUAAAGCAGUACGGCCCCCUGGCAGGGAUGCUGUUAUACCAGUAGCGCAUUCACCAUGCCUACGCUAGAGGGCUGUACCAAUUUAACUGGAUUUGUAUAAAAUCACACCCCUAACCAAAAAAUGGUGUAGACCAGGCCUACAUGCAGAAUUAAUGGCUCCCGAGAAUCAGUGGCAGAUUGUUAUCAUGACUUAGGCCCUGAAGGAUGUGAUAUGUGUGUCUUUAUAAAACACUAUGCAGACAUCUGUGGUAUAUAUCGGUAUUAGCAAUAUGCUGCUGUGAACUGCCUCGGUGGUGCUCCUUCCACUUUUAUACAGUUUUUCCUAUUCAGAUUCCUAGGGUUCUAGUCAAUAUAUAUUUUCUGGGCAGAGAAGGAGGAUUUCUCUCGAGUUCUGCACAGUGCCGUUUGCACAAGACCGAAUCCUGUUAAGAUGGCAUAGCUUUUUUUAAAAUCUGCUAACGGUAUUCAGUUUCCUUCUUCAUCAAAAUGUGGACUCUUAUCUUGCAAGCGGGGCCAGAGAAGAGCCUUGCUGAAGUCAGCUGGGGGUCUGUUCAUGUGGUACUUGCAGCUUCAGACAAACCUGUGAUUUUUCAAAUUGAUAGCUGGCUAUCUUAAAAAGAAAAGGAGUACUUGCAUGCAUCCCAUGAAGUGAGCUGUAGCUCACGAAAGCUUACGCUCAAAUAAAUUUGUUAGUCUCUAAGGUGCCACAAGUACUCCUUUUCUUCAUGGUAAGUGGGGCACUUAAGUACUAAGACAGAUAGAAGAUGGUACUAUUGUGUACACUACAGCCAUCUGGUAGUGAUCACUGAAAAGGAAAGUGUUUUCUAUACAAUUGUUGUCUACUGGCAUUAGUAACAUACUAGGGUGUAAAUAUCCUCAAUUCCUGGUAUAACUGUAUGAAUUUCUCAUUUUCAACUGGACCUGCAGACUGCUGUUCAUAACAAACAUACAGCUGUUUACAUGUAAUACUUGUUAUAUAUCAUCUUUCUUUCAUUUAACCGAAGAACCCUUUGCCCAUGAAACCUGCUCUAUCGAUGUAUUCCCUGUGCUCUGAAGCUCUAGAAGGUGUACCGAAACUCCAAAGGGGAAGGAGCUCUCUGCUAUCUGUUUUUGAACGGGAGGGAAUGGCUACAGAAAGUUUCCUUUGAAUAAGAAUUCUUCCAGUGACACUUGAGGAGUCACCAUAAAGAUACAUAGCUCAGAACUGGUUGGGUAGUAGAUUUGAACUGAAAGAAGGGGAAAGGUCUCCUAUCUUGUGUAAUAGAAGGAAGGGAACCUGGAGCACGGGUCUGGUGCAAGGCCUGAUGCCUGAACCAAAGUCAGCAAGAACCAUGCUAUGUACCAAAAUAAGACCCUGUCAUAAAGCAGAUACUUGUUUACAAUUCACUGUCCGGUACAUGAUCUUGGCAAAAACACAGCUAGCGUGGCAAAAACAGAGGCAGUCCUAAGAAGUACUAGGUACUGGAUAUUAAUAUAAAUAGAUUCCAGAAGGCUAAUAUAGAGGUGACACUCUGUACCUCAAAAUAGCACCCUGGAACCCCCACAUUCACCACUGUGAUAUGGUAUGUUUUGUACAAAAUAUGCCCUGUGAGGUAUAAUUUGAGAAGUCAUGAAUAAGGCUGCAAUUUAGUCAUGGCAAUCACAGAUUCCAUGACUUUACUGGACCUCUGUGACUUCUAGGGCUUCAGGAGGCGGAGGCAGAGGCAGGACUGUACGCCGCUGCACUGCUACUGAGGCUGGAACCAGGAGGACCCUGCAGCCCCUGCCCGGCGACUUCCGCCGGGGCCGUGCACCCCAGUUGUGUGGCGUCCAGGGCUUGGGGAGUGCAGGGCUGCAGCAGGGGCUGUGCUCCCUAGCCCCAAGGUCCCGGGCUUGGUGGGGGCUGCGGGCUUGGCGGGGGCUGCAGCCGUGGCCGCGUUCCGCCAAGGGCUGUGCACCCCCUCACGGCUGCCCAGGGCCGUGCACCCCCCCCCCCCAGGGCUGGGGCUGCAGUGAGGCUGUGCACUCCUGUCUCGCAGCUGUGGUCAGAUCCAGGGAGGGCCGCCCCAGGGUGGCCUCUCUUGCUGGAGCCAGGGCUGUGCCUGCCCCGACCAUGGCAGGGGGCUCGGCUUGUCAGUCCCUCCCCAUGGGACUCCAUUCCCCUCCCUUACCUAAUCCUGCCCCUCCCCCCCGGUUAUUUUUAGUAAAGUCACAGACAGGUUACGGGCUCCGUGAAUUUUUGUUUAUUUCCCGUGACUGUCUGUGACUUUUACUAAAAAUAACUGUGACUAAAUCUUAGCCUUAGUCAUGAUCUGUUGAGCAUUACUAUCCUGUUGAAUUAUGUGUUACCAUUGUAUCUGAAAUUAUGAAGUUCUGCUAUAGGUGUGUUACUGAAAUGUUGAGUCUGGGAGACGCCCAUAGCUGGCCUUUCGAUGGCAACAAAGCCAACACCCUCAAGACAGAUUUACAACAGAGCUAGCUGGCCAUCUGUUGAUGGCUCAUUAAGGAGAAUCCAUUCUCCCAGUGGGACCUUCCCGAUGCACAUAGACAAUGGGGAUUGCUUAACCCAGUGACUCAACAGGGGACAUAGAACAUGUGAUCCCUGACUUAUUUGAAACAACAUCUUUCCAUGCACAUGGAUUGGGAUAUAUCAAUUGGAGUCUGUGACAUCAGCCUUGGCCUCUCUCCUCCCCCACCUACUCUGAAGGCAACAAGAAUGUUUGGAAGAAAAGACUUUGAACUGAGGGGAUUCCAGGCUGAGCAAAGAAUUUAGCCCUUACCACUUGAAACAUCCAGUGGGGUGAGAAAAGAUUUUUGAUUCAAAUCUCCCUUAGUCUAAUAAAGUUUAAAAUUUAGACUGUGAUUUUAUUUUUAUUUCUUAUGCAACCAACUUUGACCUCUAACACUUAUAAUCACUUAAAAUCUAUCUUUCUGUAGUUAAUAAACGUAUUUUAAUGUUU